GUUGGCAAUGGAAGCAAGGGUAUCUUACUGGAGAUCCCUGUAUACCUGUAGCCUUCAAAAGGUAGAAGACUUGGGUUCACCUACAGAGAGAGACCGCAUGCUUAGGCACUACUGUGGACCUCCUUGAGACUCCUUUUCCCCAGAAAAUAGCUAACUUCAAAGCUGAUGGAGUGGUCAUGGAUGAAGCAAACCAGUGAAAUGAUGAGUGCUAGGAAAUUGUACACCUUCAAGAUCAGGGAGGGCUCUACGCCAUGGAGAAAAUUGACAAGAACUUUGCAGCUGUGGAUAAAUAUUUCUACAAUGUUUUCAACGCAAUCCUUUUAUAUGAGAUGAAGAGUUCAGGCCUUUCAGAAUAAUGGACUAAGAACAUGCAUUAACAGUCCCUCAUUGCCCAUGGGUAACUCAGGUGACCAAGGUCAAACUCCACUGACCCUGGGCAGGACAGGAGCAUGGUGUGGAGUGAAGAGCAAGACAAAGUUUCACAGGACAAGUGAUGGCCAACUGAAGUUUCUCUUUUUGUGCUUUACAGACCUGACAGCUGCAUCUCUUUGAACUGUGGCAAGGCAGAGCAGAGCAGUUCCUCCAGCUGAGGCUACAGGGGCUCUGCUAUGUGGGACUUGUAGAGCUUCUCACCCUCAUUCUUCUUGUUCUCUGCAUCAAGGUAAAUAGUUGCCUUCUAAUUUAUUCUCAUAGACAGUUUUUUUUGUUGUUGUUGUCUUUUUUUUCUUUUUUCCUUCAGGAAUAUGUAGCAGUGGAAUUAGGUAACAGGUCUAUCAAAUAAUCCUUUACUCCUGUGUACUAUCUCACAAGUAAAUGAAACUAACCUACUGCUUGAUGAAAUCGCCUUAUACAAGAUAAAGACAGCAGUUGAGCAUAGAUUGUUCCUAGAAUUGCAUGGCAACAAGCAGAAUCCAUUUUAAGGGUAGGUUCUCAAAUUUAUUUAUGACAUUAACAUAAUUCUGUGAUUUUUAUAAUAAAUCUCACUAACAGAUGAAAGACUGUUUAAGACUAUAAUAUGAGAAGUCCUCCAUUCAGUUCAGAUUCUUUGCGAGAGGGUUUAUGUCUGAGCACAGUGGAGUUACUUCUGUGGAUUAAUUUAGUGGGUUCAGACCAGUCCUACUCAACUCUCCAAAACCAGUGCGAUAAUCAGCAAGUCUCUACACGGAGUUGACGAGUUAAGCAAUCACAGUGACUUGACCAUCAACUUGACCUUUAAGAUCCCUUCAGAAGAGGUUUGAUCCACACUGAUUUACUUUAUCUCUCAGACCGUAAGAUCUGUACUAAAACCCUG
Molecule: long non-coding RNA, 1291 nt
Organism: Gallus gallus (chicken)
Lineage: Eukaryota; Metazoa; Chordata; Aves; Galliformes; Phasianidae
Source: Ensembl